RNA transcript from Sinocyclocheilus grahami, 1340 nucleotides. It is a transcript of the gene named complexin-3-like, with no coding region annotated. The record is from RefSeq and is a predicted model, not a curated record. Lineage: Eukaryota; Metazoa; Chordata; Actinopteri; Cypriniformes; Cyprinidae. The transcript has 5 exons.
GUGCUUCUGCUCCUGUGGCAUCUAAUGAGAUUCCCCUCGUUAAAGUCUUUAGUGUAGUAAUCUGGACCUGCACACACACGACCCGAGAUCUGCGCAGAGCGACAGCAGAUCCAGAAGAACAGGGAUAUUCUGAGUGUGGCGCUGUUAGUGGAGUUUCAUCGGCCCUGAGUGACUGGAGCGACACAGGUGGCUGUUACUGGAUAGAGUCGAGGGUCACUGAACAAUACAGUCUAUUUGAGUCUCUCCAUCUGUCCCCGUGUGUGUGAUUACAGCACCGUCUGAUGAUGAUCCAGCCGCACACACAGAUAGUGCUGCUAUAGAUCUGAUCGUAAGCAUCAUGGAGUCCAUGCUGAAGACGUCUCUGCUGGCUCCCAUAAAGACGCUCAAGUUCUGCGUGAGCGGAGAGAAGCAGCGGUCCAAAAGAGGGUCCAAAUGGCCCGGGUCAAAGGGCAGGACCGGCGCGCCGGACCCGCGUCUGCUGCGAUCCUAUCAGGCCGACCUGGAGAGAGAGAGGAAGCUGCGCGAGGCGAUGAACGCUCAGAAGAACGCCGAGAGAGCUGCGAUCAGAGCACAUUUCAGGAGGAAAUACCAGCUGGCCAAGAAUGCCAAGGACGCGGAGCAGCUGCGUGCCGUGGGGGGGAGAGUGUGUCUCCCGCGAGAUCUGGCGAAGAUGGUUGGUCCCGAAGCCCCUGCUAAAGACGACAGCUUCGGACUUCUCAGGGCCUUCCAGAGCCUCAGCCUCAGCGCCGGGAUCUUCACGGGGAAACAGAGCCAAACACCCGCGUCACGCACCGACACGGAGCCCUGCAGGGUCAUGUGACGCUCAAACACACCGCCGACGGACGCUUUCACACGCAGUGUGUCACUCAUCACUGAUGCUUUGUGUUGUUUUAUGAAUGCACAAGCGUGUCUCAGUCGCACAAUAACACCGCAGUGGGAGCUUUGACAUAGUUUUGUGUUUAUUACCUCAUAUGCUUCACACAAACAUCAGGAAACUCAUAUUUCUCUUACACUUUUUAUUUUAUUUUCAAUUUAUUUUAUCGGGAUUUGUGGGUUUAUAAUUGUUGUAAACGUGUCACUUGUUUAUGUAGUUCUCUGAAAGAGAUCAUAUAGGCUUGGAUAGUUUUAUAUGAAGCUAAUUAUAAUGACAGCAGACUAACUACAAGAAAACGUGACAAAACAUUUCAUUUAUCAAGCAGUUUUACCUUUGAAGGCAUCUCAUUUUGAUUGAUUUGAACUCUCUUAUGGAGCUUGCAUAGCUGUACUUUGGGAAAAAACACACACAGAGUUAAUGUACUGGAUCGUGUGUGUGUGUGUGUGUGUUUGUGUGUGUGUGUGUG